Molecule: ribosomal RNA, 446 nt
Filed under: uncultured bacterium
Lineage: Bacteria
Description: bacterial SSU rRNA
Rfam family: Bacterial small subunit ribosomal RNA
Source: RNAcentral
UCCAGACUCCUACGGGAGGCAGCAGUGGGGAAUAUUGCACAAUGGGGGAAACCCUGAUGCAGCGACGCCGCGUGAGUGAAGAAGUAAUUCGUUAUGUAAAGCUCUAUCAGCAGGGAAGAAAAUGACGGUACCUGAGUAAGAAGCCCCGGCUAACUACGUGCCAGCAGCCGCGGUAAUACGUAGGGGGCAAGCGUUAUCCGGAUUUACUGGGUGUAAAGGGAGCGUAGACGGCCAUGCAAGCCAGGGGUGAAAGCCCGGGGGCCAACCCCGGGACUGCCCUUGGAACUGCAUGGCUGGAGUGCGGGAGGGGCAGGCGGAAUUCCUGGUGUAGCGGUGAAAUGCGUAGAUAUUCGGAGGAACACCGGUGGCGAAGGCGGCCAACUGGGCUUUAACUGACGCUGAGGCUCGAAAGUGUGGGGAGCAAACAGGAUUAGAUACCCGCGUAA